GCGCUUGUAGCUCAACCGGAUAGAGCACCGGCCUUCUAAGCCGGGGGUCGCAGGUUCGAGUCCUGCCAAGCGCA
This 74-nucleotide transfer RNA is filed under the name Methylobacter tundripaludum. RNAcentral describes it as "tRNA-Arg". It matches the Rfam family "tRNA". Rfam says of the family: Transfer RNA (tRNA) molecules are approximately 80 nucleotides in length. Their secondary structure includes four short double-helical elements and three loops (D, anti-codon, and T loops). The record is from RNAcentral. RNAcentral also lists the same sequence under 2 other names. Lineage: Bacteria; Pseudomonadati; Pseudomonadota; Gammaproteobacteria; Methylococcales; Methylococcaceae.